GAGUUUGAUUCUGGCUCAGGAUGAACGCUAGCGACAGGCUAACACAUGCAAGUCGAGGGGUAACAGGGAGCUUGCUCCGCUGACGACCGGCGCACGGGGAGUAACGCGUAUGCAACCUGCCUAUUACAGGGGGAUAACCCGGAGAAAUUCGGAUUAAACCGCAUAAUACUAUUGGAUGGCAUCAUUUAAUAGUUAAAGAUUUAUUGGUAAUAGAUGGCAUGCGUCCCAUCAGCUAGUUGGUGAGGUAACGGCCCACCAAGGCUACGACGGGUAAGGGCCUGAGAGGGUGGCCCCUCACAAUGGCACUGAAACACGGGCCAUACACCUACGGGUGCAGCAGUAGGGAAUAUUGGUCAAUGGGCGCAAGCCUGAACCAGCCAUGCCGCGUGAAGGUGACGGCCCUAUGGGUUGUAAACUUCUUUUGUACGGGAAAAAACCACCGGUCGUGUAUCGUGCUGAUGGUACCGUAAGAAUAAGCAUCGGCUAACUCCGUGCCAGCAGCCGCGGUAAU
RNAcentral lists this ribosomal RNA (511 nucleotides) under uncultured Bacteroidota bacterium. RNAcentral's name for it is "bacterial SSU rRNA". It matches the Rfam family "Bacterial small subunit ribosomal RNA", at positions 9 to 524 of the family's 1533-position model. Lineage: Bacteria; Pseudomonadati; Bacteroidota. The record is from RNAcentral.